RNAcentral lists this ribosomal RNA (483 nucleotides) under uncultured Malikia sp. RNAcentral describes it as "bacterial SSU rRNA". It matches the Rfam family "Bacterial small subunit ribosomal RNA", at positions 8 to 492 of the family's 1533-position model. Lineage: Bacteria; Pseudomonadati; Pseudomonadota; Betaproteobacteria; Burkholderiales; Comamonadaceae. The record is from RNAcentral.
AGAGUUUGAUCAUGGCUCAGAUUGAACGCUGGCGGCAUGCUUUACACAUGCAAGUCGAACGGUAGGGUAGCAAUACCUGAGAGUGGCGAACGGGUGAGUAAUGCAUCGGAACAUGCCUAUUUGUGGGGGAUAGCCCGGCGAAAGCCGGAUUAAUACCGCAUACGAUCCAAGGAUGAAAGCUGGGGACCGCAAGGCCUAGCGCAAAUAGAGUGGCCGAUGUCAGAUUAGCUAGUUGGUGGGGUAAAGGCCCACCAAGGCAACGAUCUGUAGCUGGUUUGAGAGAACGACCAGCCACACUGGGACUGAGACACGGCCCAGACUCCUACGGGAGGCAGCAGUGGGGAAUUUUGGACAAUGGGCGAAAGCCUGAUCCAGCAAUGCCGCGUGCAGGAUGAAGGCCUUCGGGUUGUAAACUGCUUUUGUACGGAGCGAAAAGGCUUCUUCUAAUACAGGAGGCUCAUGACGGUACCGUAAGAAUAGACC